This 74-nucleotide transfer RNA is filed under the name Stegodyphus dumicola. RNAcentral describes it as "tRNA-Ile". It matches the Rfam family "tRNA". Rfam says of the family: Transfer RNA (tRNA) molecules are approximately 80 nucleotides in length. Their secondary structure includes four short double-helical elements and three loops (D, anti-codon, and T loops). Further hydrogen bonds mediate the characteristic L-shaped molecular structure. tRNAs have two regions of fundamental functional importance: the anti-codon, which is responsible for specific mRNA codon recognition, and the 3' end, to which the tRNAs corresponding amino acid is attached (by aminoacyl-tRNA synthetases). tRNAs cope with the degeneracy of the genetic code in two manners: having more than one tRNA (with a specific anti-codon) for a particular amino acid; and 'wobble' base-pairing, i.e. permitting non-standard base-pairing at the 3rd anti-codon position. The record is from RNAcentral. Lineage: Eukaryota; Metazoa; Arthropoda; Arachnida; Araneae; Eresidae.
GCCUUCGUGGUAUGGUGGUUAUGCACGCUGGGCCGAUAUCCCAGAGGUCCGUGGUUCGAUUCCCGGCGAAGGCA